RNAcentral lists this ribosomal RNA (253 nucleotides) under uncultured bacterium. Its description in RNAcentral is "partial 16S ribosomal RNA". It matches the Rfam family "Bacterial small subunit ribosomal RNA", at positions 524 to 776 of the family's 1533-position model. The record is from RNAcentral.
UACGUAGGGUGCAAGCGUUAAUCGGAAUUACUGGGCGUAAAGCGUGCGCAGGCGGUUUUGUAAGUCAGAUGUGAAAUCCCCGGGCUUAACCUGGGAACUGCGUUUGAAACUACAAGGCUAGAGUGUGGCAGAGGGGGGUGGAAUUCCACAUGUAGCAGUGAAAUGCGUAGAUAUGUGGAGGAAUACCGAUGGCGAAGGCAGCCCCCUGGGAUAACACUGACGCUCAUGCACGAAAGCGUGGGGAGCAAACAGG